GGAUCAUUACCGAGUUAUACAACUCAUCAACCCUGUGAACAUACCUAUAACGUUGCCUCGGCGGGAACAGACGGCCCCGUAGCACGGGCCGCCCCCGCCAGUGGACCCCCUAACUCUGUUUCUAUAAUGUUUCUUCUGAGUAAACAAGCAAAUAAAUUAAAACUUUCAACAACGGAUCUCUUGGCUCUGGCAUCGAUGAAGAACGCAGCGAAAUGCGAUAAGUAAUGUGAAUUGCAGAAUUCAGUGAAUCAUCGAAUCUUUGAACGCACAUUGCGCCCGCCAGUAUUCUGGCGGGCAUGCCUGUUCGAGCGUCAUUACUACCCUCAGGCCCCCGGGCCUGGCGUUGGGGAUCGGCGGAAGCCCCCUGCGGGCACAACGCCGUCCCCCAAAUACAGUGGCGGUCCCGCCGCAGCUUCCAUUGCGUAGUAGCUAACACCUCGCAACUGGAGAGCGGCGCGGCCACGCCGUAAAACACCCAACUUCAAGUUGACCUCGAAUAGUAGGAAUACCCCGUGAACCUAAGCAUAUCAAUAAAGCGAGGAAAAUCUCUGCGGCCUGGCGGCCGGGGAGCAUGCUACUUUGGGCCCAAUUUCCUAUAGUGAUCGAAUUCAUUACUGGGCCGUUUUUACAAAUUUUGAAUGGAAAUAGAUUUUGAGGAAUUAUCUUUACAAUAGUUACUAUACGAUAACUCCCUUACAUUUCUCUCUAACCCUUAACACCUGCAACACUCCCCCACCCGCUCCUUUCACACCCGCACCCUCCUCGCUGCUUAACCUUCCACAUAACUAUCCAUCAUCAUAUUCCUCACACCGUCCCUUGUUCCUGCCCCUACUCUUCUGAAACUCCUAUGGGGG
Molecule: ribosomal RNA, 854 nt
Filed under: Fusarium solani
Lineage: Eukaryota; Fungi; Ascomycota; Sordariomycetes; Hypocreales; Nectriaceae
Description: eukaryotic LSU rRNA
Rfam family: 5.8S ribosomal RNA (bases 161-314)
Source: RNAcentral